AACGAACGCUGGCGGCAGGCCUAACACAUGCAAGUCGAGCGCACCUUCGGGUGAGCGGCGGACGGGUGAGUAACGCGUGGGAAUAUGCCCUUCACUACGGAAUAGCCUCGGGAAACUGAGAGUAAUACCGUAUACGCCCUUCGGGGGAAAGAUUUAUCGGUGAGGGAUUAGCCCGCGUUGGAUUAGGUAGUUGGUGGGGUAAAAGCCUACCAAGCCGACGAUCCAUAGCUGGUUUGAGAGGAUGAUCAGCCACACUGGGACUGAGACACGGCCCAGACUCCUACGGGAGGCAGCAGUGGGGAAUCUUAGACAAUGGGGGAAACCCUGAUCUAGCCAUGCCGCGUGAGUGACGAAGGCCCUAGGGUCGUAAAGCUCUUUCGCCAGGGAAGAUAAUGACGGUACCUGGUAAAGAAGUCCCGGCUAACUCCGUG
Molecule: ribosomal RNA, 431 nt
Filed under: uncultured bacterium
Lineage: Bacteria
Description: bacterial SSU rRNA
Rfam family: Bacterial small subunit ribosomal RNA
Source: RNAcentral